This 492-nucleotide ribosomal RNA is filed under the name uncultured bacterium. RNAcentral's name for it is "partial 16S ribosomal RNA". It matches the Rfam family "Bacterial small subunit ribosomal RNA", at positions 29 to 507 of the family's 1533-position model. The record is from RNAcentral.
AGUGAACGCUGGCGGUAGGCCUAACACAUGCAAGUCGAACGGCAGCACAGUAAGAGCUUGCUCUUACGGGUGGCGAGUGGCGGACGGGUGAGGAAUACAUCGGAAUCUACUUUUUCGUGGGGGAUAACGUAGGGAAACUUACGCUAAUACCGCAUACGACCUACGGGUGAAAGCAGGGGAUCUUCGGACCUUGCGCGAUUGAAUGAGCCGAUGUCGGAUUAGCUAGUUGGCGGGGUAAAGGCCCACCAAGGCGACGAUCCGUAGCUGGUCUGAGAGGAUGAACAGCCACACUUGAACUGAGACAACGUCCAGACCCCUAAGGGGAGGAGCAGGGGGGAAUUUUGGACAAUGGGCGCAAGCCUGAUCCAGCCAUACCGCGUGGGUGAAGAAGGCCUUCGGGUUGUAAAGCCCUUUUGUUGGGAAAGAAAAGCAGCAGGUUAAUACCCCGCUGUUCUGACGGUACCCAAAGAAUAAGCACCGGCUAACUUCGUG